GACGAACGCUGGCGGCGUGCUUAACACAUGCAAGUCGAACGGAAAGGCCCCUUUGGGGGUACUCGAGUGGCGGACGGGUGAGUAACACGUGAGUAACCUGCCCUUGACUUCGGGAUAACUUCAGGAAACUGGGGCUAAUACCGGCUAGGAAUCCUUGCUGCAUGGUGGGGGUUGGAAAGCUUCGGCGGUUUUGGAUGGACUCACGGCUUAUCAGCUUGUUGGUGGGGUAGUGGCUUACCAAGGCUUUGACGGGUAGCCGGCCUGAGAGGGCGACCGGCCACAUUGGGACUGAGAUACGGCCCAGACUCCUACGGGGGGCAGCAGUGGGGAAUAUUGCACAAUGGGCGGAAGCCUGAUGCAGCAACGCCGCGUGCGGGAUGACGGCCUUCGGGUUGUAAACCGGUUUCAGCAGGGGCGAAGCUUGUGGUGACGGUACCUGCAGAAGAAGCACCGGCUAACUACGUG
RNAcentral lists this ribosomal RNA (465 nucleotides) under uncultured bacterium. RNAcentral's name for it is "partial 16S ribosomal RNA". It matches the Rfam family "Bacterial small subunit ribosomal RNA", at positions 28 to 507 of the family's 1533-position model. The record is from RNAcentral.